UUGAGAUUAAGAAAUCAAAUAUUCUAUAAAAUGUAAAUACACUGAACUUAUUUGGAUAUAUUUAAGUGAGACUCUACAAUAUUAUUUAUGACACAAAUCUGUCUAAAUCAAAAUUUUAAUCAUUUUUACUCCAAACAUUUACUGGACUGAUUUAAAUAUUAAAAUCACUCCUUUCUAAUCCUCUGCUGUACUUUCAAACCUGAGGCCUUAAAUAGAAACACACAAGUAUCUGAUUGAAGGAACUUCUGCAGAGUCCUGGUUCCAGAACAUGAUGAUAGAAUUAUAGACAAACUUUAACAAAAGCUGCCUGAGAGUUUACAGGUUUUUAUGUUGGAUUUCUUCAGUAAUUUAAUGAGUUAUCAGCAAAAAUCAAGUGUUCAUUUGAUGAACUUCAUUUCCUAAAACAUACAGAAUUGGAGCUCAUAUCUUUGGCAGCUGUAAAGUUUCUGCUUCUUCAAAGUUCACAACACAAUGAAUGAAUUCCUAAAACACUCUCAAUGCUGGAGAGCGUUUGAUGCUGAAGCAGUGACCAGUUUUUCUGUUUCUUCUCUGGAGAUGCACAAUGAGGGACGUCUGCAGAGACUGAGAAAGAGUCUCACCACAUCCUUACAUGAGGAAAAAGACUUUAUUGAAGACUACAAUGAGAAAAACUAUCAGACAGCAGACGGCAUGCAUUCAAGUUUAGGCUGUUAGAUUGUUCCAGAUAAGACAAGUACAAGAUACUUCAGAGCCGUUCUACCACGAGCCUGACAGGAAGAACUCCAACAGCUACUGAAUGUUCCUGUGGUCCCCUCAAGGCUACAGGAGGAGCCCUACGAGGACGAGCCUGUCCACCUGAUGGUGGCCAGUCGCUGCGGUUCAAAGCCAACACCGACUACGUGGACUUCUACUGGACCACACGGAGGCCUUCAAACCGGACCAACAAGUUCAGCGACUCCCCGACUCGUGGGUCCGAGGACGCCGCCGAGCCUCGGUCCAGCCGGCCUCCUGUCUGUGGGUGUUUGAGUGCUGAGAGGCCUCCGUUGACUCGUCCCGCCUGCCGUCUCUGGAGCUGAAGCUGGAUUGGAACAGACCAAAG
Molecule: long non-coding RNA, 1078 nt
Organism: Amphiprion ocellaris (clown anemonefish)
Lineage: Eukaryota; Metazoa; Chordata; Actinopteri; Pomacentridae
Source: Ensembl